RNAcentral lists this ribosomal RNA (590 nucleotides) under uncultured bacterium. RNAcentral describes it as "partial 16S ribosomal RNA". It matches the Rfam family "Bacterial small subunit ribosomal RNA", at positions 355 to 941 of the family's 1533-position model. The record is from RNAcentral.
UGAGGAAUAUUGCGCAAUGGGCGAAAGCCUGACGCAGCGACGCCGCGUGGAGGAUGAAGGUUUUCGGAUUGUAAACUCCUGUUAAGUGGGAAGAAACGACAAAAUAUAAUACAUUUUGUAACUGACGGUACCAUUAAAGAAAGCACCGGCUAACUUCGUGCCAGCAGCCGCGGUAAUACGAGGGGUGCAAGCGUUAUUCGGAAUUAUUGGGCGUAAAGGGUGCGUAGGCGGCGUAUUAAGUCAACUGUUAAAACCUCCAGCCUAACUGGAGAUCAGCAGUAGAUACUGGUAUGCUAGAGGAUGGAAGAGAGAAGUGGAAUUCUUGGAGUAGCGGUGGAAUGCGUAGAUCUCAAGAGGAACACCAAUGGCGAAGGCAGCUUCUUGGUCCAUAUCUGACGCUGAUGCACGAAAGCGUGGGGAGCAAACAGGAUUAGAUACCCUGGUAGUCCACGCCGUAAACGAUGAUCACUAGAUGUUAAUUCUGCUUGCAGAAUUAGUGUCGUAGCUAACGCGAUAAGUGAUCCGCCUGGGGGACUACGGUCGCAAGAUUAAAACUCAAAUGAAUUGACGGGGGUCAUAGCUGUUUCCUG